Molecule: ribosomal RNA, 501 nt
Filed under: uncultured bacterium
Lineage: Bacteria
Description: bacterial SSU rRNA
Rfam family: Bacterial small subunit ribosomal RNA
Source: RNAcentral
AUUGAACGCUGGCGGCAUGCCUUACACAUGCAAGUCGAACGGCAGCGCGGGGGCAACCUGGCGGCGAGUGGCGAACGGGUGAGUAAUAUAUCGGAACAUACCCUAGAAUGGGGGAUAACGUAGCGAAAGUUACGCUAAUACCGCAUACGCACUAAGGUGGAAAGCGGGGGAUCGCAAGACCUCGUGCUCAUGGAGUGGCCGAUAUCUGAUUAGCUAGUUGGUAGGGUAAAAGCCUACCAAGGCGACGAUCAGUAGCUGGUUUGAGAGAACGACCAGCCACACUGGAACUGAGACACGGUCCAGACUCCUACGGGAGGCAGCAGUGGGGAAUUUUGGACAAUGGGGGCAACCCUGAUCCAGCAAUGCCGCGUGAGUGAAGAAGGCCCUCGGGUUGUAAAGCUCUUUUUGUCAGGGAAGAAACGGUGAGUUCUAAUAAAGCUUGCUAAUGACGGUACCUGAAGAAUAAGCACCGGCUAACUACGUGCCAGCAGCCGCGGUAAU